AGAAAGCAAAGCAAACAAACAUGAAGCUCGAGGUCGUCCCCUCCUAAUAAAAGAAAAUAAAACAAAAUGAAAUUAGUCUUGCUAGCCUAUACUAUGCAUCCAUUGAUGUUGCCGCGUCCUCCAAAUACAAGUAAUUUGGGGCAUUCCCCGGGUUAAAAUAUUUAUAAAGUCCAUCGGGCUUUCCGGGGAUAAAUAAAUCAACUACGGGACAACCUCUCACCUCGAAACCAAAAGCAAAUAAAAAUCCUAAGAUUGCCUACCCAUGUGUGGUCGGCCUAAAGCAUGCUCCUAGCGACUUGAAAAGAAAGUAAAUUAAGCUAAAAUAAAGAUCAAGUGUGAUUUAACCCUCCUUCGCCAAAUGUCGCCGUUCAAAUAAGAGAUGUACACAAAUAAGAGUGACGGAAUUUCAAACAGGACAACAAUCCAAACGAGACACAUUCUUUGAUCAUGUGAUUUAACCCUCCCUCGCCCAAUGUCGCCGUUCAAAUAAGAGAUGCACACAAAUAAGAGGGACGGAAUUCCGAACAGGACAGCAAUCCAAACAAGACACGAAUAAAGAAGUAAUAGACGAUUAAUAUAGCAAGGAAAAAUAAAAUAAAAUAAAAAACUCAAAACAUAAAAGACAAUUGGCAAAUUAACUAUAAAGCUUUCACAGUAACUCACAUUGGGAGAGCAAAAUGCAUCACUGCCGUUGAGCAUUGACAUUAUUAGUAACUUCUAAGCGCUACCACAUAAAGAACAUAUAUAUUUGUUUUAGAGAGUGUUUUAGUCAAAUGCUAGGUGUUCUGACAUUCACAAUCGGAUACCAACUCUAGAAAACACAGGGCAAAACCAAACGAUCCAAAACAAUUGACGACGCCAACGGAUCUUUGUCGACAAAUGAACUAAAAUAGCAAAUCCAACGAUUUCCAUAUUUAUCGUGUAGAACACAAGACGAUUAAACACUAAUAUUUUAAACAGUCACACAUACUAAAUCAAGGAUCAAAGAAUCAGAUUAAACCACCAUCCGACGUGCUAAAACAGGGCAGAAUCGAAGCACUUCAUUUGAAUACCAAAGCAAUACAGAACACCCAAUGAUGUAGCUAUAUCCAAAUGUAAUACUAUAUGAAAAUCAUGAGAUUGUUUCUGUAAACGCCCAAAUUCGAUUAUUUAUCUCUAAAACAUGUCAAGCAAAUUUAGAUUUCUAAUCAUAUUCCGAACCAUCAUUAACAGAGUAAGAAAACGAAGACGAACCUGGAAAUUAAGCUUUCGAUUAAUUCUGUAGGAAUCGAGUACACAGAAGAAGAUUUGGCGACGAAUUUUAGCGCGAAAAUAGCUUAUGAAUAUCCAAUCAACAACGAAGCAACAUGGCAGGGAACCAACUCGGACAUGAACCAAAACUCGAACGAUGAAGUCGACCUCGGAUCAAUUGAUCUCCAUGUCAAUAACAGCAAUAACCAGAAAGAGAAACUAAAAAUAUUUUGUUUGAUAUUUUUCUUAUUUUCAAGAAUGGAACAACACUCAAACAAAAAUGAAACUCAAAUUAUUUUUGUGUUUUUUGGAAUGCCAAUUAUAUGCGAAACGGAAUAUCUGAGGAGAAAACCCAAAAUAACCAAGAACUCUAGUUUUUUUUUUCCUAAUUUUUCUCUCUAAUUUCUGUCCGAGAACCUCAGUCUCCAAAAACCUCUCAAAUAUAUAUCACACCCUAGAAGCUUUUUUCCUCUUCUCCAAGAAAUUCCAAAACCGUGUAGUCCCCCAAAUACCAAAAAUCCUUUUCAAAAAAUAAAAAUCAGAAAAAAUGGAGAUUGUUGGACGAAAAUUUCAUCCAAUGAUUCCCAUUCUUCCCGAGUUUAUUCAAGCGUUCGGAAUUGUGUUUAAACAAAAGAAAUAAAAGAAGAUAUCUCACACAAAUCGGAUUGGAAUGAUGAUAUUAAGUGGGAUUUUGCUACGUGGAAGAAAGAUAAGAGAGGAGAGGGGGGCCAUGAGGGGACCAGUGGGUUAACUCGCCCGGUUGGCGAGUUUUCUGGCGAGUUUAGAUGCGACAGAAGCGGAGAUGACAAAAGGGGGUGGCGGCUGGUCUUGUUAGAUUAGGAUUAAGGUCUUUGGGAAAUAUUGGGUUUAUAUUUGGGGGUGUGGGGAAUUAAUCUGGUUCGUUGGAUUAAUUUGGACUGAGGGCUAAGAUUUGAAGGGGUCAUUGGGGCGGGUCAGGGGAUUGGGUCGCCAGAUUUGGGCCUUGUCUUGCCUAGAAAUGGGGCAGAAAAUGAAAAAAAAUUUAACUCUUUUUAAAUCCACACAAAUGAAACUUGAACCUUUCUUUUGAAUAAAAAUAAUUUUAAAUUAAUUAUGACUAAUUAAAAAUAAAAUAUGCCAUAUUAUGAAACUAUAUGUAUUAUU
Molecule: long non-coding RNA, 2373 nt
Filed under: Nicotiana benthamiana
Lineage: Eukaryota; Viridiplantae; Streptophyta; Magnoliopsida; Solanales; Solanaceae
Description: long non-coding RNA (NBEN_LNC007577)
Source: RNAcentral